This 37-nucleotide non-coding RNA is filed under the name Trypanosoma brucei brucei. The record is from RNAcentral. Lineage: Eukaryota; Euglenozoa; Kinetoplastea; Trypanosomatida; Trypanosomatidae.
AAUUGGGGCACUAUACCCCGUUAUAUAGUAUAGUAAU